AAAGAAAGGGUAGCAGGUGUGCCUCCCAACCAACCCUUUAUUGCCUGGGCAUGUGACAGCAUUUUGCGGCACCUCAGUAAUGAGCCAGAGAAGAAGGAAAGGCAGAUGAAUUUGCCAGCAUUAUUGCAGGUACAGUCAUGUGCCGCAUAAUGACAUUCAGUCAAUGACAGACUGCAUAUAUGAGGUGGUCCUGUAAGGUGAUAAUGGAGCUGAAAAAUUCCUACUACUGAACGACAUCAUAGCCAUUGUAACAUCAUAGCACAACCAAUCACCUUUUCUAUAUUUAGGAGCAAAGGCAAUACAAUGGAGAAGACAGUCUUUUAACAAAGGUGCUGGAAUAACUGGACAGCCAUGCACACACACAGAAAAGAAUCGAGACACAGACUUUACAUCUUCACAAAGGUACAACACUGAAGGCACCGCCCAUGAAAGAAACAACUGAUAGGCUGAACUCCAUUAAAAUUAAAAGCUUUUGCUCUGCAAAUACAAGAGAAUGAGAACACAAACCGUGAUGCUGAAGUUACAAGUCUGAACCACACGUAGACUAUCAUAGCAAGAUGGCUACAGAAGUUCUGGAAAUAUACCAGACGUGGCAAUGCUGCAGAGGAAGGAGGGAGAAUAUGCCUUUCUGCAGAUCUUUCUUGGAGGAGAGAUAAGGAGUUCAUAUGCUGGAAUGAUAGUGACACAGGAGUUUAACACUCCUACAGUAUCCAGAGCCUGGAUCCCUGAGUCAUCAGAUGGAGAAGAACUACUCAGGAGAGUCAUCCAACCUUCAUAGACAGUGGCAUGAGUGGG
Molecule: long non-coding RNA, 795 nt
Filed under: Homo sapiens (human)
Lineage: Eukaryota; Metazoa; Chordata; Mammalia; Primates; Hominidae
Description: HSALNT0327118
Source: RNAcentral